UGUAGUUUGGUGUAGUUGCAUGUUGUGGUUUGGUCGCAAAGGAGGUUAGUUGUUAGCUACAG
This 62-nucleotide transfer RNA is filed under the name Dicrocoelium chinensis. RNAcentral describes it as "tRNA-Gln". Lineage: Eukaryota; Metazoa; Platyhelminthes; Trematoda; Plagiorchiida; Dicrocoeliidae. The record is from RNAcentral.